RNAcentral lists this ribosomal RNA (422 nucleotides) under uncultured prokaryote. Its description in RNAcentral is "bacterial SSU rRNA". It matches the Rfam family "Bacterial small subunit ribosomal RNA", at positions 355 to 774 of the family's 1533-position model. The record is from RNAcentral.
UAAGGAAUAUUGGUCAAUGGGCGCAAGCCUGAACCAGCCAUGCCGCGUGCAGGAAGACGGCCCUAUGGGUUGUAAACUGCUUUUGUCAGGGAAUAAACCUGUUUACGAGUAGACAGCUGAAGGUACCUGAAGAAUGAGCAUCGGCUAACUCCGUGCCAGCAGCCGCGGUAAUACGGAGGAUGCAAGCGUUAUCCGGAUUCAUUGGGUUUAAAGGGUGUGCAGGCGGAUUGGUAAGUCAGGGGUGAAAUCCCAAAGCUCAACUGUGGAACUGCCCUUGAUACUGUCAGUCUAGAGUAUAGUUGAAGUUGGCGGAAUGUGUCAUGUAGCGGUGAAAUGCUUAGAUAUGACACAGAACACCGAUCGCGAAGGCAGCUAGCUAAGCUAUAACUGACGCUCAGGCACGAAAGCGUGGGGAUCAAACA